UGUCAAGUGUCAACACCACAAACAAUCUUCUCCAUAUAUAUAUAUUAACCCUCAGCCUCCCCUACCCCUUUUCUUAUACAAACAAAGAUCCUCUCUUCUCUCUCUAAAGUCACACGAAACGAAGACAUAGAAGCAGCAGAUAAGAGAUGACUGAAGAAGACGAGUGGGUUCAUGUAGCUUUGAACGAUGACACUUUAGUGGUGGAGCUCCUUUUAAAGCUAAACCAACCAGAACAACAACCACCACCACCGCCAGUAAGGCGGCGGCGACGUCGUCGUUUUGCGGCGGAUUUGGCGAAGGAAGGAGCGGUGCUGGCUUUGAGUGUGGACUGGAGCGUGAGACAACGACGCUCUUCGUCUAAGCAAGUAAUGAUGACGAGGAGCAAAAAAGGUUCUGAUUCGUCGUCUACUCGUGCGAGUCCUACCACUCCGCUUUCAUUUAGCGGUGGCACCUCCGUCAGCGGUGGUGGUGCUGGCGACGGUUUUGAUGAAGCUACUACUAGCGCUUGCCUUCCCGCUAAGUUGAUUGCCACCUCGAGAUCUAAGGUUGCUGUUACAAGUGGAACACCAACCAUCAAGAGGUCAAGAAAGAAGAAGAAGUUAGUUGAGCUUAGAGAGGAGGAGAUUUUGCUACUGAAGGAAAAAAGACAUUUGAAAAAUAAAUUGGAAACUAUGCGUGUGAGUUUAGAGAAAGAGAGAGCCAGAAAUGAAAGUUUGAAGAGAACGAAGUUUGAUUUGCUAUCACAGCAUAGACCAGAGAUAUUCACAGCUUCUGUUAAAUCAGAAGAUGUUAUUUCAAUGAAGCCUCAGGAAACAAAAGUAGCCUGUGAUUCCACAUAUUCAGUGUUGCCACACAAUGUUUCUUUCCAGUUACAGGAGGAUGAAGGCAGGAAGCCUUCCUUUACGCUACCAGACCUAAAUCUACCUGUUGAUGGUGAUUCAGGCUCUGGCAUUUUGGGCUGAGAAGAAUCAGUUCUAUACUGGUUUUUUUCCUUUUCAAAUAAUACAUGUUUCGGCACCUCCUAACAGCAUCGCAUGUUGAGUUGAUGUUUUGUUGAACGAAAGAACAUGGGAUUAGACGUCAAGAACCUGUUACAUAGGAGCCUAAAACUGCUGAGUUUAGAAAUAUAUUCAGAUGGGAAAUAAAUUGAAAGCUAUCAGCUCGUGCUGGAAUUGGAAGAAUGAGCACAAACUCAGCCCAAAGUUGAAUCAUGACUCUCAACAAUCCACCACAACUGCACAAGGAAAUCAGAAGAUUUCUCAGAAAAUACUGAAUCAUAAAGUAAUGGAAAUCAAGCAAAAACAACGACAAACAUUUUGCAUAUGCACAGUGCAUCAACCAAGACAAUCAAUUGAUGAACAAGGAAUUGGAAUCAACAUUGGGAUGAACGAAAAAGCUUUUUAUUACAAGAGUUAGAGAGUUUAAGAUUUAUCGAAUUGUCUUUACCCAGAAAAAAUAAAACCCACUUGACUUCCACAGAACCCCAUCACUGUUUUUUCUUUAAACCUCUAAAUUAUCGAACUUUAGAAAACCAGUAAACCUCUAGAACCCAACGAAGUCCAAUUCUGAUGAAAGAAAGCAAAACACCAACCAAUGCCAAAAAGAAA
Populus trichocarpa (black cottonwood) is the source of this 1607-nucleotide RNA transcript. RefSeq lists it as uncharacterized. The record is from RefSeq and is a predicted model, not a curated record. The transcript has 6 exons. Lineage: Eukaryota; Viridiplantae; Streptophyta; Magnoliopsida; Malpighiales; Salicaceae.